GGCCCUCGGCCUCUUUGCACCCGGCAGAGUGACGAGCUUCGCCGGUGUCUUCAACGAAGUCCUGUCGGUCCCUACCGGCACAUCACACACUCCUGGAAGCAUGAUCUUCACUCCCUUCCUUCCACCUGCUGACCUGAAUGUGAAAGGGCUGCAAAACGACCCUGAGGAAUGGGUGGCUGUGUCUGACGCCACGGAGGACCCAUCCGGUGGCACAGGCUUGCCCAGGGAACCUGCUCUUCUGCGAGGGUCUUGGAGGAGCCGGUUCCAGAGAGCCCUGGCAUGUUUCACCAAGUGUUUCAGGGGAGGAUACCGGGCACUCGGAAUCUGAGACCACCGGAGCCACAGACACAGAGCCAUGAACGGUGACCAAGCCCCUUCUGCUGCUCCAUGCCCCUGCUCGCCGCAGUGUCCCAGUCACCAGGCCUGAAAUAAAUGCUGGCACGCUUGACUGUU
RNAcentral lists this long non-coding RNA (453 nucleotides) under Homo sapiens (human). RNAcentral describes it as "non-protein coding lnc-FAM236B-4:1". Lineage: Eukaryota; Metazoa; Chordata; Mammalia; Primates; Hominidae. The record is from RNAcentral.